This 497-nucleotide ribosomal RNA is filed under the name uncultured bacterium. RNAcentral describes it as "partial 16S ribosomal RNA". It matches the Rfam family "Bacterial small subunit ribosomal RNA", at positions 28 to 507 of the family's 1533-position model. The record is from RNAcentral.
GAUGAACGCUGGCGGCGUGCCUAAUACAUGCAAGUCGAGCGAACAGACGAGGAGCUUGCUCCUUCGAUGUUAGCGGCGGACGGGUGAGUAACACGUAGGUAACCUACCUAUAAGACUGGGAUAACUUCGGGAAACCGGAGCUAAUACCGGAUAAUAUUUCGAACCGCAUGGUUCGAUAGUGAAAGAUGGCUUUGCUAUCACUUAUAGAUGGACCUGCGCCGUAUUAGCUAGUUGGUAAGGUAACGGCUUACCAAGGCAACGAUACGUAGCCGACCUGAGAGGGUGAUCGGCCACACUGGAACUGAGACACGGUCCAGACUCCUACGGGAGGCAGCAGUAGGGAAUCUUCCGCAAUGGGCGAAAGCCUGACGGAGCAACGCCGCGUGAGUGAUGAAGGUCUUCGGAUCGUAAAACUCUGUUAUUAGGGAAGAACAAACGUGUAAGUAACUGUGCACGUCUUGACGGUACCUAAUCAGAAAGCCACGGCUAACUACGUG